RNAcentral lists this transfer RNA (63 nucleotides) under Aedes aegypti (yellow fever mosquito). It matches the Rfam family "tRNA", at positions 5 to 66 of the family's 71-position model. Rfam says of the family: Transfer RNA (tRNA) molecules are approximately 80 nucleotides in length. Their secondary structure includes four short double-helical elements and three loops (D, anti-codon, and T loops). Lineage: Eukaryota; Metazoa; Arthropoda; Insecta; Diptera; Culicidae. The record is from Rfam by way of RNAcentral.
CAGUGGCUCAGUAGGUAGAGCGCUCGUCUAUUAUAUAACAGUUGUGGUUUCGAAUCCCACCUG